This 85-nucleotide transfer RNA is filed under the name Felis catus (domestic cat). It matches the Rfam family "tRNA". From Rfam's summary of the family: Transfer RNA (tRNA) molecules are approximately 80 nucleotides in length. The record is from Rfam by way of RNAcentral. Lineage: Eukaryota; Metazoa; Chordata; Mammalia; Carnivora; Felidae.
GCCUGGGUGGCUUAGUCGGUUGAGUGUCUGACUUCAGCUCAGGUCAUGAUCUCAUGGCUUGUGGGUUCGAGCCCUGCGUUGGGCU